This 66-nucleotide transfer RNA is filed under the name Diceroprocta semicincta. Its description in RNAcentral is "tRNA-Phe". Lineage: Eukaryota; Metazoa; Arthropoda; Insecta; Hemiptera; Cicadidae. The record is from RNAcentral.
AUUUAGAUAGCUUAAAAAUAGAGCAUAAUAUUGAAGAUAUUAAGGUAAUAUAUUUAUUUCUAAAUA